ACUCGAGUGGCGAACGGGUGAGUAACACGUGGGUGAUCUGCCCUGCACUUCGGGAUAAGCCUGGGAAACUGGGUCUAAUACCGGAUAGGAGCCAUCUUUAGUGUGGUGGUUGGAAAGUUUUUUCGGUGUAGGAUGAGCUCGCGGCCUAUCAGCUUGUUGGUGGGGUAGUGGCUUACCAAGGCUUUGACGGGUAGCCGGCCUGAGAGGGUGACCGGCCACAUUGGGACUGAGAUACGGCCCAG
RNAcentral lists this ribosomal RNA (242 nucleotides) under uncultured Actinomycetales bacterium. Its description in RNAcentral is "partial 16S ribosomal RNA". It matches the Rfam family "Bacterial small subunit ribosomal RNA", at positions 89 to 334 of the family's 1533-position model. The record is from RNAcentral. Lineage: Bacteria; Bacillati; Actinomycetota; Actinomycetes; Actinomycetales.